AUACUUACCUGGCAGGGACGAUACCAUGAUCAAGAAGGUGGUUCAUCUACGGCGAGGUCCUGCCAUUGCACUUCGGCGGGUACUGACCUGUAUGAAUUCCCCAAAUGUGGGAAUCUCAACUGCACAAUUUAUGGUAGUGGGGGACUGCGUUCGCGCUCUCCCCUG
Molecule: small nuclear RNA, 165 nt
Organism: Alosa sapidissima (American shad)
Lineage: Eukaryota; Metazoa; Chordata; Actinopteri; Clupeiformes; Clupeidae
Product: U1 spliceosomal RNA
Exons: 1
Source: RefSeq, a predicted model, not a curated record